RNAcentral lists this ribosomal RNA (624 nucleotides) under Triticum aestivum (bread wheat). Its description in RNAcentral is "partial small subunit ribosomal RNA". Lineage: Eukaryota; Viridiplantae; Streptophyta; Magnoliopsida; Poales; Poaceae. The record is from RNAcentral.
AUGGCGGCAAAGAAACAACUCUUUCGCUUUGGGUCUUUCGCGAUAAAGGACGGGUCGGAGAUUCGUUUCUGGGAAGACAUCUGGCUAGGCAAUGCCAGUCUCCGAGAACAAUAUCCAGCCUUGUACAACAUUGCUCGCGAUAAGAACAAUACUAUUGCGCAGGUGCUAAGCUCAUCCCCGCCGAAUAUUUCGUUCAGGCAGGAUUUGGUUGGCGCCCGACUUAUGUCAUGGCAUAAUCUCUUAUCCCGUCUGGAUUUGAUUAACCUGACACAAGGCCGUGAUGUGUUUCGCUGGAACCUUACUACAUCGGGGUCUUUCACGGUAGACUCUAUGUAUCAUGCGCUCACGCAUUCUGAGGUACCGGAGAGCAAUAACAAGAAAAUCUGGAAGGCAAAGAUUCCACUAAAAGUUAAAAUAUUCAUGUGGUAUCUUUGUAGAGGUGUUGUGCUAACCAAAGACAACCUUGUUGGGGAACGUAGCAGAAAUUCAAAAUUUUCUACGCAUCACCAAGAUCAAUCUAUGGAGUUUACUAGCAACGAAGGGAAGGGGAGUGCAUCUACAUACCCUUGUAGAUCGCGAUGCGGAAGCGUUGCAAGAACGCGGAUGAGGGAGUCGUACUCGUAG